RNAcentral lists this transfer RNA (73 nucleotides) under Bos taurus (domestic cattle). It matches the Rfam family "tRNA". From Rfam's summary of the family: Transfer RNA (tRNA) molecules are approximately 80 nucleotides in length. The record is from Rfam by way of RNAcentral. RNAcentral also lists the same sequence under 2 other names. Lineage: Eukaryota; Metazoa; Chordata; Mammalia; Artiodactyla; Bovidae.
CCCUUUCUGGUCUGGUGAUUAGGAUUCCUGGUUUUCAUCCAGGCUACCCCAGGUUCAAUUCCUGGGCAGAGGA